This 355-nucleotide long non-coding RNA is filed under the name Gallus gallus (chicken). Lineage: Eukaryota; Metazoa; Chordata; Aves; Galliformes; Phasianidae. The record is from RNAcentral.
UGAACAACCCCAACUCUACUUUCAGAAGUCAGAAAGAGGAUCUCAACAACACAGCUGGGGCUUGGACAAAAUUCUCUAGCAGCAGUCUGCAAAUUACAGUGAUUCCUUGAAGAGACAGAAAACAGAACAAAGCAACUUAACCUGGGAGGAGGAGUUCAAAUCUGUUUGGCUUGGACAAGUUUGAGAAGUGAGCCCACAUUAACCUAAUGUCCAAGUGCAAGGAACUGCACCUGGGCUGGGACAAUACCAAAUAUGAGUACAAACUGGACACUUUCCUGUGCAGCCUAUUGUAGGGAACCUGCUUUAACAGUGAGAUUGGACUUAAUAAUCUUCAGAGGUCCCUUCCAACCCCUGG